Molecule: ribosomal RNA, 492 nt
Filed under: uncultured bacterium
Lineage: Bacteria
Description: partial 16S ribosomal RNA
Rfam family: Bacterial small subunit ribosomal RNA
Source: RNAcentral
AGUGAACGCUGGCGAUAGGCCUAACACAUGCGAGUCGAACGGCAGCACAGUAAGAGCUUGCUCUUACGGGUGGCGAGUGGCGGACGGGUGAGGAAUACAUCGGAAUCUACUUUUUCGUGGGGGAUAACGUAGGGAAACUUACGCUAAUACCGCAUACGACCUACGGGUGAAAGCAGGGGAUCUUCGGACCUUGCGCGAUUGAAUGAGCCGAUGUCGGAUUAGCUAGUUGGCGGGGUAAAGGCCCACCAAGGCGACGAUCCGUAGCUGGUCUGAGAGGAUGAUCAGCCACACUGGAACUGAGACACGGUCCAGACUCCUACGGGAGGCAGCAGUGGGGAAUAUUGGACAAUGGGCGCAAGCCUGAUCCAGCCAUACCGCGUGGGUGAAGAAGGCCUUCGGGUUGUAAAGCCCCUUUGUUGGGAAAGAAAAGCAGCAGGUUAAUACCCCGCUGUUCUGACGGUACCCAAAGAAUAAGCACCGGCUAACUUCGUG